Acanthochromis polyacanthus (spiny chromis) is the source of this 1052-nucleotide long non-coding RNA. RefSeq lists it as uncharacterized. The transcript has 2 exons. Lineage: Eukaryota; Metazoa; Chordata; Actinopteri; Pomacentridae. The record is from RefSeq and is a predicted model, not a curated record.
AGGAGAAAGGCCUCUGUAGAUGAGAAUUAUGAAUGGGAUGAUGCAGAUUUCUGCCCAGAGCCUGGAGACCAUGAUGGUCUGCUUCCUUCAUUGAAUCUACUGAAGCCUGCUCCGCGCUGCAGCCUUCCCAGCAUACAGCGCUCCACUAAGGCACUGAAAAAUUACACUCAGCUUUCUUUGCUCCAGGGGCAUCAAAGCAGCUGCUCUGCUGAGCCAGAACCAGACACCGUGCUGUUCUGACAGCGCCAGCCUUCGGCUCAUCUCACCUGGUGUGUCUUUUCACGUAUUGACUCGCAUCAGAAGGCAACAAAAAGUGCAUGUGGCAGAAAGUGAGCCUUUGUGUGGUCAGUCGCGUUCCUUUUUUCAAAAGUUCAGGGUUUUUUUUUUUCAAGUGAAGGGUGUUCUGUUUGGUCCUUUUGUUAAGCUUCAAUUGAAAAGUAAUCAUUUUCAUACAGGUUUCAGUGAAAAGUACUGGAGACAGAAAAUCCCUUUGAAACUUAUGCAGAGCUUUCAAACUUUGUUUUUUCCUUUGUGACCCAAUGCCAUCACGCUUUUGACAUUUUCAUUUUCGAGGGGGCCUGUCAGUCUGCCAAUAUCAAAGCAUUCCAUUGUGGUGAUAAAUUCACCACGUUCUCUUGUGUAGUUGGAUAUGCAUUCAUCAUCCUGGAUGACUCAGUAGCUACACAAGGGACAAGACGACUCAGUCAUCGUCGAGUGACUCGUCUCUGCCGUGGAUGAUUACCUCUUUUUGAUAUCAUCCAUCACCUAUAGGUUUAACUAAAAGAAGUGUUUAUGAAAUGCCAACAAAUAAGGAAGAUGAAUAGAAUGUAAAAGGUUAUUCUGCUGCACUGUUACUGCUUUUUUCUUCAGUGUAACACUCCUUUCUCAAAGUGUAAUUUCCCGGUAGAGAUAGUUAUCUACUUUUUUUCUUGCCGUUACAAAAUGGGAAUUUUUAUCAUUUGAAGAAAUCUCCUCAGUCUGGAUGAAAGGCUUAGUUUCCUCCCUGUCCUUGGUUUUUAAUUACAUCCAGCGAUUAUAAAGGGUUCAGUCAA